CACACACACAUAUAUAUAUAUAUAUGUAUGCAUCAAAAUAAGCAACAAGGAUAUCCAAUGUAGUGUAGUACAACUGUUUCAUGCUCACUUCAU
This is a long non-coding RNA of Octopus sinensis (East Asian common octopus), 93 nucleotides long. RefSeq lists it as uncharacterized. Lineage: Eukaryota; Metazoa; Mollusca; Cephalopoda; Octopoda; Octopodidae. The record is from RefSeq and is a predicted model, not a curated record. The transcript is spliced from 4 exons.